This 421-nucleotide ribosomal RNA is filed under the name uncultured bacterium. RNAcentral describes it as "partial 16S ribosomal RNA". It matches the Rfam family "Bacterial small subunit ribosomal RNA", at positions 360 to 774 of the family's 1533-position model. The record is from RNAcentral.
AAUCUUCCACAAUGGGCGAAAGCCUGAUGGAGCAACGCCGCGUGUGUGAAGAAGGUUUUCGUAUCGUAAAACUCUGUUGUAAGGGAAGAACAAGUACAGUAGUAACUGUCUGUACCUUGACGGUACCUUAUUAGAAAGCCACGGCUAACUAGCUGCCAGCAGCCGCGGUAAUACGUAGGUGGCAAGCGUUGUCCGGAAUUAUUGGGCGUAAAGCGCGCGCAGGCGGUACUUUAAGUCUGACGUGAAAGCCACGGCUCUACCGUGGAGGGUCAAUGGAAACUGGGGGACUUGAGUGCAGAAGAGGAAAGUGGAAAUCCAAGUGUAGCGGUGAAAUGCGUAGAGAUUUGGAGGAACACCAGUGGCGAAAGCGACUUUCUGGUCUGUAACUGACGCUGAGGCGCGAAAGCGUGGGGAGCAAACA